UGGCUCUUUGCUUGCGCACAACUUCCACCUGGCAUACCUCUUCAGUUUUGGGUCAAUGCUUGUAUCGCAUUGAACGCACUGGGGUUUCUUGUGUUGCAUGCCUAAUCGAUGGUAUCGUUUUGACGAAUCGAUGUCUAUUUUCGUCUUGUGUCGCACAUGCGAUGCGAGAUGAACCUUAAAGCAGCCUUUUGUGAUCCACUCUUUUGAUGGCACACGCAUUGAUUUUGUGGCUCAUUGAGUGUUUGCUUGGUCUCUGGAUAUGGAACCUUGUGUGGGCAUGUGAUCUUUUAUUACCCUCCUUGUUUUGCCCUUGUUAAGCUUUUCUAAAACGAUUUCCCUAUCAUGGCUUUACACGUGGGGGUGGAUAUAUCAAAAC
RNAcentral lists this unclassified non-coding RNA (376 nucleotides) under Chrysocephalum semipapposum. Its description in RNAcentral is "partial contains external transcribed spacer and 18S ribosomal RNA". Lineage: Eukaryota; Viridiplantae; Streptophyta; Magnoliopsida; Asterales; Asteraceae. The record is from RNAcentral.